GAUGAAGAACGUAGCGAAAUGCGAUAAGUAAUGCGAAUUGCAGAAUUCCAGUGAGUCAUCGAAUCUUUGAACGCACAUUGCGCCCUUUGGUAUUCCGAAGGGCAUGCCUGUUCGAGCGUCAUUAUCACCCCUCAAGCCCUCGGCUUGGUGUUGGGGCCUGCUGCACUGGCAGCCCUUAAAAUCAGUGGCGGCGCCAUCUGGCUCUAAGCGUAGUAAUUCUUCUCGCUAUGGAGUCCUGGUGGAUGCUUGCCAUCAACCCCCAAUUUUUCUAUGGUUGACCUCGGAUCAGGUAGGGAUACCCGCUGAACUUAAGCAUAUCAAUAAGCGGAGGA
RNAcentral lists this unclassified non-coding RNA (332 nucleotides) under soil metagenome. RNAcentral describes it as "partial contains 5.8S ribosomal RNA, internal transcribed spacer 2, and large subunit ribosomal RNA". The stretch from base 1 to 121 matches the Rfam family "5.8S ribosomal RNA", at positions 35 to 154 of the family's 154-position model. The record is from RNAcentral.